ACCAUUCAUAAAAUCAGCAAUUUAAGGGCCUGCAUGCCACAAGCCUUGAUGGUGGAAAGGAUGUGUCUGAGGUGGGAGGAAAAGGCAUCCUGUGGUCCCUACUAAAGGGUGUGUUCACUGUGACAUUCAAAGGGAAGCAAAGUGCAAAGGGGCAAGAAAGCAGGUGUGCUGUAACACUAUGAUUCAUUUUCUUAGAAGAUUAAAAUUCAUGCAAGAGAAAAUCAGUGGUGAAGUUAUAGUACAGAAUCAUCAUUUGCAUCAUGACAAGAAUAUGGCAAGGUGAUUUCCAAUACAUGGAAUUAUCUGUAAAAUUAUGAAUAGCCUGACAUUUAUGGAUGAGUAAAUCUGAAAAUCCUUUUUGAUACAUACCCUGUGGCUAACACCAAUU
Molecule: long non-coding RNA, 388 nt
Organism: Neopelma chrysocephalum (saffron-crested tyrant-manakin)
Lineage: Eukaryota; Metazoa; Chordata; Aves; Passeriformes; Pipridae
Exons: 3
Source: RefSeq, a predicted model, not a curated record